Molecule: ribosomal RNA, 333 nt
Filed under: Belisana sp. Tai4
Lineage: Eukaryota; Metazoa; Arthropoda; Arachnida; Araneae; Pholcidae
Description: bacterial SSU rRNA
Rfam family: Eukaryotic small subunit ribosomal RNA
Source: RNAcentral
GAUGUUCGGGGCCGCACGCGCGCUACACUGAAGGAAUCAGCGUGUGCUUUCCCUGUCCGACAGGACUGGGUAAUCCGUUGAACCUCCUUCGUGAUGGGGAUAGGGGCUUGUAAUUGUUCCCCUUGAACGAGGAAUUCCCAGUAAGCACGAGUCAUAAGCUCGUGUUGACUACGUCCCUGCCCUUUGUACUCACCGCCCGUCGCUACUACCGAUUGAAUGAUUUAGUGAGGUCUUCGGACUGGCGCUCGCACUCGGUCUUCGACCGGGCCGUAGUGCCGGAAAGAUGACCAAACUUGAUCAUUUAGAGGAAGUAAAAGUCGUAACAAGGUAUCC